RNAcentral lists this ribosomal RNA (468 nucleotides) under uncultured bacterium. RNAcentral's name for it is "partial 16S ribosomal RNA". It matches the Rfam family "Bacterial small subunit ribosomal RNA", at positions 28 to 507 of the family's 1533-position model. The record is from RNAcentral.
GACGAACGCUGGCGGCGUGCUUAACACAUGCAAGUCGAACGGAAAGGCCCUGCUUUUGGGGGGUGCCCGAGGGGCGAACGGGUGAGUAACACGUGAGUAACCUGCCCUGGACUUGGGGAUAACUUCAGGAAACUGGGGCUAAUACCGGAUAGGAGCUCCUGCGGCAGGGUGGGGGUUGGAAAGUUUCGGCGGUUGGGGAUGGACUCGCGGCUUAUCAGCUUGUUGGUGGGGUAGUGGCUUACCAAGGCUUUGACGGGUAGCCGGCCUGAGAGGGUGACCGGCCACAUUGGGACUGAGAUACGGCCCAGACUCCUACGGGAGGCAGCAGUGGGGAAUAUUGCACAAUGGGCGGAAGCCUGAUGCAGCAACGCCGCGUGCGGGAUGACGGCCUUCGGGUUGUAAACCGCUUUCGCCUGUGACGAAGCGUGAGUGACGGUAAUGGGUAAAGAAGCACCGGCUAACUACGUG